GCAGGAACUGCGGCUAGCGCGACCUCCUCCUGGGGGUGCGCAGGAACUGCGGCUAGCGCGACCUCCUCCUGGGGGUGCGCAGGAACUGCGACUGGCGCGACCUCCUCCUGGAGGUGCGCAGGAACUGCAGGUGCUGCCUCCUCCUGGAGGCCGGCGGGCGCUGCGGCUCCAAGGGUGACGGGGACUGGAACGACCGCUACAGGGCCGACGGGAACGGGGUCAGAGACAGGGGUGACCUCUACUUGGCCUACGGGAACGCCCUCUACUUGGCCUACGGGAACGCCCUCUACUUGGCCUACGGGAACGCCCUCUACUUGGCCUACGGGAACGCCCUCUACUUGGCCUACGGGAACGCCCUCUACUUGGCCUACGGGAACGCCCUCUACUUGGCCUACGGGAACGCCCUCUACUUGGCCUACGGGAACGCCCUCUACUUGGUCGACAGGGACAGGAGCUGGAACGACCUCAACUUGGUCGACAGGGACAGGAACUGGAACGACCUCAACUUGGUCGACAGGGACAGGAACUGGAACGACCUCAACUUGGUCGACAGGGACAGGAACUGGAACGACCUCAACUUGGUCGACAGGGACAGGAACUGGAACGACCUCAACUUGGUCGACAGGGACAGGAACUGGAACGACCUCAACUUGGUCGACAGGGACAGGAACUGGAACGACCUCAACUUGGUCGACAGGGACAGGAACUGGAACGACCUCAACAUGGCCGACAGGAACAGGAACUGGAACGACCUCAACUUGGUCGACAGGGACAGGAACUGGAACGACCUCAACAUGGCCGACAGGAACAGGAACUGGAACGACCUCAACUUGGUCGACAAGAACUGGAACGACCUCAACAUGGCCGACAGGAACUGGAACGACCUCAACAUGGCCGACAGGAACUGGAACGACCUCAACAUGGCCGACAGGAACUGGAACGACCUCAACAUGGCCGACAGGAACUGGAACGACCGCAACAUGGCCGACAGGAACUGGAACGGCCUCUGCUUGGCCGACAGGAACUAGAACGGCGUCCUCCUCUGAGGAGCCGACAGGAACUGGAACUAGAACGGCCUCAAUAUGGCCGACGGGAACAGGAACGGCGUCCUCCUCUGAGGAGCCGACAGGAACUAGAACGGCGUCCUCCUCUGAGGAGCCGACAGGAACUAGAACGGCCGCAACAUGGCCGACAGGGACUGGAACGGCCGCAACAUGGCCGACAGGGACUGGAACGGCCGCAACAUGGCCGACAGGGACUGGAACGGCGUCAACUCCGGAGCUGGCAUGA
Molecule: long non-coding RNA, 1290 nt
Filed under: Betta splendens (Siamese fighting fish)
Lineage: Eukaryota; Metazoa; Chordata; Actinopteri; Anabantiformes; Osphronemidae
Description: lncRNA (ENSBSLG00000001894.1)
Source: RNAcentral